This 380-nucleotide ribosomal RNA is filed under the name Curtobacterium sp. MBR2.21. RNAcentral describes it as "bacterial SSU rRNA". It matches the Rfam family "Bacterial small subunit ribosomal RNA", at positions 56 to 437 of the family's 1533-position model. Lineage: Bacteria; Bacillati; Actinomycetota; Actinomycetes; Micrococcales; Microbacteriaceae. The record is from RNAcentral.
UGCAGUCGACGAUGAUGCCCAGCUUGCUGGGUGGAUUAGUGGCGAACGGGUGAGUAACACGUGAGUAACCUGCCCCUGACUCUGGGAUAAGCGUUGGAAACGACGUCUAAUACUGGAUAUGACUGCCGGCCGCAUGGUCUGGUGGUGGAAAGAUUUUUUGGUUGGGGAUGGACUCGCGGCCUAUCAGCUUGUUGGUGAGGUAAUGGCUCACCAAGGCGACGACGGGUAGCCGGCCUGAGAGGGUGACCGGCCACACUGGGACUGAGACACGGCCCAGACUCCUACGGGAGGCAGCAGUGGGGAAUAUUGCACAAUGGGCGAAAGCCUGAUGCAGCAACGCCGCGUGAGGGAUGACGGCCUUCGGGUUGUAAACCUCUUUU